RNAcentral lists this long non-coding RNA (455 nucleotides) under Nicotiana benthamiana. Its description in RNAcentral is "long non-coding RNA (NBEN_LNC009041)". The record is from RNAcentral. Lineage: Eukaryota; Viridiplantae; Streptophyta; Magnoliopsida; Solanales; Solanaceae.
AAUGACAAGUUCUUUGAAGUUUUUGCACCUAACUCACUUUUCUCUUGAUCCCUCUCUGAGGACAGGUUAAGGAAAUCAAAUUCUGUACCUGCUUCAGCAGUAGCAGGACUUCCUGCGUAAGUCUUAAUUUGUUCUGAGGUCAUGGGGAGGUUGAAUUUCCUUGGGAUUUCUCGGGACAAACAAGAAUGAGGGGAUUUCCUGGCACUACUUGAAACAAAAAAAAAAAAUCACUUCCAUUUUGUUCAAUGCUAGAUGACAGCUCUUCCUUUGUCCUACACAAGUUGUAAGUCUUAAUUUGUUCUGAGGUCAUGGGAAGGUUGAAUUUCCUUGGGAUUUCUCGGGACAAACAAGAAUGAGGGGAUUUCCUGGCACUACUUGAAACAAAAACAAAAUCACUUCCAUUUUGUUCAAUGCUAGAUGGAAGCUCUUCCAUUGUCCUACACAAGUUGCUAUUA